RNAcentral lists this ribosomal RNA (460 nucleotides) under uncultured bacterium. RNAcentral's name for it is "partial 16S ribosomal RNA". It matches the Rfam family "Bacterial small subunit ribosomal RNA", at positions 338 to 795 of the family's 1533-position model. The record is from RNAcentral.
CCUACGGGAGGCAGCAGUGAGGAAUAUUGGUCAAUGGACGAGAGUCUGAACCAGCCACGUAGCGUGAAGGAUGACUGCCCUAUGGGUUGUAACCUUCUUUUAUAAAGGAAUAAAACGAGGCACGUGUGCCUUUUUGCAUGUACUUUAUGAAUAAGGAUCGGCUAACUCCGUGCCAGCAGCCGCGUUAAUACGGAGGAUCCGAGCGUUAUCCGGAUUUAUUGGGUUUAAAGGGAGCGUAGAUGGGUUGUUAAGUCAGUUGUGAAAGUUUGCGGCUCAACCGUAAAAUUGCAAUUGAUACUGGCAGUCUUGAGUACAGUUGAGGUAGGCGGAAUUCGAGGUGUAGCGGUGAAAUGCUUAGAUAUCACGAAGAACCCCGAUUGCGAAGGCAGCUUACUAAACUGUGACUGACAUUGAUGCUCGAAAGUGUGGGUAUCAAACAGGAUUAGAUACCCUUGUAGUC